AACUAUCAAAACACUUUUAUUUCUUGAGGUGUUUUGGACUUUGGGAGUACUGUGCUGGUCUCUUUUUGAGCCAGCUCUCCUCAAAUGCAUUAACUUCGGAGACCCAUCAGUGUGAUAAUUUUGUUUAUACGCUGGCUUCUCCUUUUUUAAUUGCCCC
RNAcentral lists this unclassified non-coding RNA (157 nucleotides) under uncultured Amanita. RNAcentral describes it as "sequence contains ITS2". Lineage: Eukaryota; Fungi; Basidiomycota; Agaricomycetes; Agaricales; Amanitaceae. The record is from RNAcentral.